This is a non-coding RNA of Pelobates cultripes (western spadefoot toad), 245 nucleotides long. Lineage: Eukaryota; Metazoa; Chordata; Amphibia; Anura; Pelobatidae. The record is from the annotation of a GenBank genome assembly.
UGUCAGUGUAGGGUGUCAGUGUAGGGUGUCAGUGUAGGCUGUCAGUGUAGGGUGUCAGUGUAGGGUGUCAGUGUAGGCUGUCAGUGUAGGCUGUCAGUGUAGGGUGUCAGUGUAGGGUGUCAGUGUAGGCUGUCAGUGUAGGGUGUCAGUGUAGGCUGUCAGUGUAGGGUGUCAGUGUAGGGUGUCAUUGUAGGCUGUCAGUGUAGGCUGUCAGUGUAGGGUGUCAGUGUAGGCUGUCAGUGUAG